GAUGAACGCUGGCGGCGUGCCUAAUACAUGCAAGUCGAACGAGGUGCUUUUGUAGCAAUACGAGAGUAUCCUAGUGGCGAACGGGUGAGUAACGCGUUGGUGACCUACCCCAAAGUGUGGGAUAACAGUCCGAAAGGAUUGCUAAUACCGCAUGUGGUCUUCGGGUUUAGAAACUGAUGACUAAAGGAGCAAUUCGCUUUGGGAGGGACCUGCGUCCAUCAGCUAGUUGGUGAGGUAAUGGCUCACCAAGGCUACGACGGGUAGGGGACCUGAGAGGGUGACCCCCCACAAUGGAACUGAAACACGGUCCAUACACCUACGGGUGGCAGCAGUAGGGAAUAUUACACAAUGGGCGAAAGCCUGAUGCAGCAACGCCGCGUGUGCGAUGAAGGCCUCGGUCGUAAAGCACUUUCUU
RNAcentral lists this ribosomal RNA (415 nucleotides) under uncultured bacterium. RNAcentral describes it as "bacterial SSU rRNA". It matches the Rfam family "Bacterial small subunit ribosomal RNA", at positions 28 to 439 of the family's 1533-position model. The record is from RNAcentral.